This is a long non-coding RNA of Eleginops maclovinus (Patagonian blennie), 984 nucleotides long. RefSeq lists it as uncharacterized. Lineage: Eukaryota; Metazoa; Chordata; Actinopteri; Perciformes; Eleginopidae. The record is from RefSeq and is a predicted model, not a curated record. The transcript has 3 exons.
CACAGCGGAGUGGAUGACGUCACCAGCCACCUCCGCGUCAGCUGAUGGAGGAAUGUAAACAGCAGCAACAACAGCGCAGUGAAACUCUCGGGGCAGGUAGUGAGGACGUAAUCCAGCAGCUCACAGCUCAAUGUCCGGGCUACAGAAACGCUCCUUCACGGUAACAUGUCCGGGAUUACACCAUCGUUAAUUCUCAUACAGAGCAUCCCCCCCCCCCUUCUUCUUACGCUCAGAGUAGCGUCCCUGUCCGCCCGAACGCUCGUGAUGCCGGGGAGAGCGGUGUUGUUGUCCGGGAUAUGCGAGUGCACGGCUCCGUAAAACACGAGGCUGCUCUCACGUCCUCCACAGCUCUGUGGCGCCACCAGCUGGUGAACACAUAAAACACAGCCUGAUAAAUAACAGCAGUGAGGAGAAGCUGCUCAAACACCUGAGAAUUAAAGCCGCGCGAGCUGCAGCAACACCCUGUCUCCACGGCAACGGCGUAUGAUGACACCCCAUAAUGGUUCUUAGAUAUUGUGAGGUCUGCAGUUAUCAACAUGUGAAGUUUUGGGUAAAACAUCCCAUAAUAUUCUGUUUUAUAGCCGGGCUACACUGAGACCAGGUUAAUGAUGCGACCAAUCAGAGCCCCUGAAUCACCUUCAUUAAAUAUCAUCAGACAUUCACCUGGUGAGGGAGGCUGUGGCUCAGUGGGAGGGUGCGCUGGUCUUCGGAUCAGGGGAGCACUGGUUCAAUCCCCCCUGCAGUCAGCAUGUCGUUGUGUCUCUGGGCGAGACACACCCCCUCCUGAGGGUGUUGUCCUCAGUAAUGAGAGCAUGUAAACCAAUAUCCCUAUGUUGUGUGUAUCCUGUGUGUUCCCUGUUGACCUCUGGUCUUUGACCCUGAUGGGAAUGAUGGGAGUGAUGGGAACGAGGACGCAGCGUCUGAGGUUUGAUCCGUUUUUAUUGAAAACAGCGACACAAGACGAGAAUAAAAAAAUAAAAUGAA